RNAcentral lists this unclassified non-coding RNA (421 nucleotides) under soil metagenome. Its description in RNAcentral is "partial contains 5.8S ribosomal RNA, internal transcribed spacer 2, and large subunit ribosomal RNA". The stretch from base 1 to 120 matches the Rfam family "5.8S ribosomal RNA", at positions 35 to 154 of the family's 154-position model. The record is from RNAcentral.
GAUGAAGAACGCAGCGAAAUGCGAUACGUAAUGUGAAUUGCAGAAUUCAGUGAAUCAUCGAAUCUUUGAACGCAUAUUGCGCUCUUUGGUAUUCCGAAGAGCAUGCUUGUUUGAGUAUCAGUAAACACCUCAACCUCUUCUUGAUUUUUCAAAAGGAGGGUGGACUUGAGCUAUCCCAACAACCUUUACCGGUCGGUGGGCGGCUUGAAAUGCAGGUGCAGCUGGACUUUUAUCUGAGCUAAAAGCAUAUCUAUUUAGUCCUCGUCAAACAGGAUUAUUACUUUUGCUGCAGCUAACAUAAAGGAUAAUUGUCCUCUUUGCUGACUGAUGCAGGAUUUUACGACACUUUAUGUGUUGUUCAACUCGAUCUCAAAUCAAGUAAGACUACCCGCUGAACUUAAGCAUAUCAAUAAGCGGAGGA